UACGUAGGGUGCAAGCGUUGUCCGGAAUUAUUGGGCGUAAAGAGCUCGUAGGCGGUUUGUCGCGUCUGCUGUGAAAACCCGAGGCUCAACCUCGGGCCUGCAGUGGGUACGGGCAGACUAGAGUGCGGUAGGGGAGAUUGGAAUUCCUGGUGUAGCGGUGGAAUGCGCAGAUAUCAGGAGGAACACCCGUAGCGAAGGCGGCACUCUGGGCCGAUACUGACGCUGAGGAGCGAAAGCGUGGGGAGCAAACAGG
Molecule: ribosomal RNA, 253 nt
Filed under: uncultured bacterium
Lineage: Bacteria
Description: partial 16S ribosomal RNA
Rfam family: Bacterial small subunit ribosomal RNA
Source: RNAcentral